AGAGUUUGAUCAUGGCUCAGGACGAACGCUGGCGGCGUGCCUAAUACAUGCAAGUCGAGCGAGCUUGCCUAGAUGAUUUUGGUGCUUGCACUAAAUGAAACUAGAUACAAGCGAGCGGCGGACGGGUGAGUAACACGUGGGUAACCUGCCCAAGAGACUGGGAUAACACCUGGAAACAGAUGCUAAUACCGGAUAACAACACUAGACGCAUGUCUAGAGUUUGAAAGAUGGUUCUGCUAUCACUCUUGGAUGGACCUGCGGUGCAUUAGCUAGUUGGUAAGGUAACGGCUUACCAAGGCAAUGAUGCAUAGCCGAGUUGAGAGACUGAUCGGCCACAUUGGGACUGAGACACGGCCCAAACUCCUACGGGAGGCAGCAGUAGGGAAUCUUCCACAAUGGACGAAAGUCUGAUGGAGCAACGCCGCGUGAGUGAAGAAGGGUUUCGGCUCGUAAAGCUCUGUUGGUAGUGAAGAAAGAUAGAGGUAGUAACUGGCCUUUAUUUGACGGUAAUUACUUAGAAAGUCACGGCUAACUACGUGCCAGCAGCCGCGGUAAUACGUAGGUGGCAAGCGUUGUCCGGAUUUAUUGGGCGUAAAGCGAGUGCAGGCGGUUCAAUAAGUCUGAUGUGAAAGCCUUCGGCUCAACCGGAGAAUUGCAUCAGAAACUGUUGAACUUGAGUGCAGAAGAGGAGAGUGGAACUCCAUGUGUAGCGGUGGAAUGCGUAGAUAUAUGGAAGAACACCAGUGGCGAAGGCGGCUCUCUGGUCUGCAACUGACGCUGAGGCUCGAAAGCAUGGGUAGCGAACAGGAUUAGCAUACCCUGGUAGUCCAUGCCGUAAACGAUGAGUGCUAAGUGUUGGGAGGUUUCCGCCUCUCAGUGCUGCAGCUCACGCAUUAAGCACUCCGCCUGGGGAGUA
Molecule: ribosomal RNA, 916 nt
Filed under: uncultured bacterium
Lineage: Bacteria
Description: bacterial SSU rRNA
Rfam family: Bacterial small subunit ribosomal RNA
Source: RNAcentral